This is a non-coding RNA of Podarcis lilfordi (Lilford's wall lizard), 241 nucleotides long. The record is from the annotation of a GenBank genome assembly. Lineage: Eukaryota; Metazoa; Chordata; Lepidosauria; Squamata; Lacertidae.
GCCAUACCUCAGUGGUAGCGCAUUUGCUUUGCAUGUCAAAGAGAACCCUUAUCUGAAAUCCUAGAGAGCUGCUGCCAGCCCGUGUAGACAAAAUUCAGCUAGGUGGACCAGUGGGUUGACUCAGUAUAACGCUGCUCCCUGCGUUUCUAACAGGUAGGAGGCAAGCAGGAUUUGGGAAGCAUCACAGCUCAAGUAACAGAACAUGCAGAAGGGUCCUGGGUUCAAUUUCCCAGUAUCUCCA